GAUGAACGCUGGCGGCGUGCCUAAUACAUGCAAGUCGAGCGAACAGACGAGGAGCUUGCUCCUCUGACGUUAGCGGCGGACGGGUGAGUAACACGUGGAUAACCUACCUAUAAGACUGGGAUAACUUCGGGAAACCGGAGCUAAUACCGGAUAAUAUAUUGAACCGCAUGGUUCAAUAGUGAAAGACGGUUUUGCUGUCACUUAUAGAUGGAUCCGCGCCGCAUUAGCUAGUUGGUAAGGUAACGGCUUACCAAGGCAACGAUGCGUAGCCGACCUGAGAGGGGGACCGGCAAACCGGAACUGAGACACGGUCCAGACUCCUACGGGAGGCAGCAGUAGGGAAUCUUCCGCAAUGGGCGAAAGCCUGACGGAGCAACGCCGCGUGAGUGAUGAAGGUCUUCGGAUCGUAAAACUCUGUUAUUAGGGAAGAACAAAUGUGUAAGUAACUAUGCACGUCUUGACGGUACCUAAUCAGAAAGCCACGGCUAACUACGUG
RNAcentral lists this ribosomal RNA (496 nucleotides) under uncultured bacterium. RNAcentral's name for it is "partial 16S ribosomal RNA". It matches the Rfam family "Bacterial small subunit ribosomal RNA", at positions 28 to 507 of the family's 1533-position model. The record is from RNAcentral.